Mastomys coucha (southern multimammate mouse) is the source of this 368-nucleotide long non-coding RNA. RefSeq lists it as uncharacterized. The record is from RefSeq and is a predicted model, not a curated record. The transcript is spliced from 2 exons. NCBI's taxonomy places the organism in Eukaryota, Metazoa, Chordata, Mammalia, Rodentia, Muridae.
GCAAGACUCUGCGUGCACGUGUGUGUGUGUGUGUGUGUGUGUGUGUGUGUGUGUGUGUGUGUGUAGCUGGGGAUCCAACCGAAAACCUUCUGCAUGAGAACUGGUGCAGGAGAGAUGGCUGCUUUACAUAUGUCAGCUUCACGAUGCCUGGGGAAGUGGCUGUGCUAAGCUGUAACAACAGCGCUCCAUGCCACCAGGCAGCAAAUGGAUUUUGGUUCCGCUUUAAUUUCUAGCAAACGGCCAUGCCUACGCCACAUCCAUCAGCAGGAGCCGAUUCCACUGCUGAAUUAACAGCCUUGUUUAAUGGCCGCCUUGCUGCUCAUCACACCUCUGUUUGAUUAAAUUGUUAUAUAAAGAGAAAUGUUUUG